UAUUUAAUAUUAAUUAUUAAUUAUAAUUAUAAGAAAUUUAAAAUAGUUUAAAGUAUAGUAGUAGAAACAAAUAAAUAAUAAAAAGUAAAUAUAU
RNAcentral lists this ribosomal RNA (94 nucleotides) under Orobdella tsushimensis. RNAcentral describes it as "partial 16S ribosomal RNA". Lineage: Eukaryota; Metazoa; Annelida; Clitellata; Hirudinida; Orobdellidae. The record is from RNAcentral.